CUGACUGAUGAGGGAAUUGUUCUACUGAGAUGAGGCUGAGCUUGGCUCAUGACAUCGUCGGGGCUCCGACAGCCUCAUCAAACAGAAUCCCGAGGAACCGGAAGCAGGGAGGAGGACCGACAGAUGAACGGAUGACCUGCUUGCUGGGCUUCCCAUUACUGAUUCUUGAAAGAAAUGAGGACCACUGACUGAUGAGAGAAUUGUCUUACUGAGAUGAGGAUGAGCCUGCCUCAAGCCAUCGUAAGCUGGGAGGACCGAUGAUGGACUGACACCGCCUGCUGGCCUGGCCAUUACUGAUUCUUGAGGACAUGAGGACCACCAAGCUUGGACGAGACUGGACAAUGACGAAGCUGCUCUACUGGACAAGGAUGCCCUCAUCGGAAACUUGAGUU
Patiria miniata (bat star) is the source of this 392-nucleotide long non-coding RNA. RefSeq lists it as uncharacterized. The transcript is spliced from 3 exons. The record is from RefSeq and is a predicted model, not a curated record. Lineage: Eukaryota; Metazoa; Echinodermata; Asteroidea; Valvatida; Asterinidae.